GAUUAUGGUGAUAACAACACAGAGGCCA
RNAcentral lists this non-coding RNA (28 nucleotides) under Mus musculus (house mouse). The record is from RNAcentral. Lineage: Eukaryota; Metazoa; Chordata; Mammalia; Rodentia; Muridae.